This 1051-nucleotide ribosomal RNA is filed under the name Staphylococcus capitis. RNAcentral's name for it is "bacterial SSU rRNA". It matches the Rfam family "Bacterial small subunit ribosomal RNA", at positions 56 to 1100 of the family's 1533-position model. The record is from RNAcentral. Lineage: Bacteria; Bacillati; Bacillota; Bacilli; Caryophanales; Staphylococcaceae.
UGCAGUCGAGCGAACAGACGAGGAAGCUUGCUCCUCUGACGUUAGCGGCGGACGGGUGAGUAACACGUGGAUAACCUACCUAUAAGACUGGGAUAACUUCGGGAAACCGGAGCUAAUACCGGAUAACAUGUUGAACCGCAUGGUUCAACAGUGAAAGACGGUCUUGCUGUCACUUAUAGAUGGAUCCGCGCCGCAUUAGCUAGUUGGUAAGGUAACGGCUUACCAAGGCAACGAUGCGUAGCCGACCUGAGAGGGUGAUCGGCCACACUGGAACUGAGACACGGUCCAGACUCCUACGGGAGGCAGCAGUAGGGAAUCUUCCGCAAUGGGCGAAAGCCUGACGGAGCAACGCCGCGUGAGUGAAGAAGGUCUUCGGAUCGUAAAACUCUGUUAUUAGGGAAGAACAAAUGUGUAAGUAACUAUGCACGUCUUGACGGUACCUAAUCAGAAAGCCACGGCUAACUACGUGCCAGCAGCCGCGGUAAUACGUAGGUGGCAAGCGUUAUCCGGAAUUAUUGGGCGUAAAGCGCGCGUAGGCGGUUUUUUAAGUCUGAUGUGAAAGCCCACGGCUCAACCGUGGAGGGUCAUUGGAAACUGGAAAACUUGAGUGCAGAAGAGGAAAGUGGAAUUCCAUGUGUAGCGGUGAAAUGCGCAGAGAUAUGGAGGAACACCAGUGGCGAAGGCGACUUUCUGGUCUGUAACUGACGCUGAUGUGCGAAGCGUGGGGAUCAAACAGGAUUAGAUACCCUGGUAGUCCACGCCGUAAACGAUGAGUGCUAAGUGUUAGGGGGUUUCCGCCCCUUAGUGCUGCAGCUAACGCAUUAAGCACUCCGCCUGGGGAGUACGACCGCAAGGUUGAAACUCAAAGGAAUUGACGGGGACCCGCACAAGCGGUGGAGCAUGUGGGUUUAAUUCGAAGCAACGCGAGACCUUACCAAAUCUUGACAUCCUCUGAUCCCUCUAGAGAUAGAGUUUCCCUUCGGGGACAGAGUGACAGUGUGCAUGUGUCGUCAGCUCGUGUCGUGAGAUGUGGGUAGUCCGCACGAGCGCA